AGAAUCAACGCUGGCGGCGUGCCUAACACAUGCAAGUCGCACGAGAAAGGGGAGCAAUCCCUAAGUAAAGUGGCGCACGGGUGAGUAACACGUGAAUCAUCUACCUCCGAGUGGGGAAUAACCUAGAGAAAUCUGGGCUAAUACCGCAUAACACUUACGAGUCAAAGCAGCAAUGCGCUUGGAGAGGAGUUCGCGGCCGAUUAGCUAGUUGGCGGGGUAAUGGCCCACCAAGGCGAUGAUCGGUAUCCGGCCUGAGAGGGCGCACGGACACACUGGAACUGAAACACGGUCCAGACUCCUACGGGAGGCAGCAGUGGGGAAUUUUGCGCAAUGGGGGAAACCCUGACGCAGCAACGCCGCGUGGAGGAUGAAGUAUCUUGGUACGUAAACUCCUUUCGAUGGGGAAGAUAAUGACGGUACCCAUAGAAGAACGCCCCGGCUAACUUCGCGCCAGCAGCCGC
RNAcentral lists this ribosomal RNA (461 nucleotides) under uncultured bacterium. RNAcentral's name for it is "SSU rRNA". It matches the Rfam family "Bacterial small subunit ribosomal RNA", at positions 26 to 518 of the family's 1533-position model. The record is from RNAcentral.